GACGAACGCUGGCGGCGUGCUUAACACAUGCAAGUCGUACGGUAAGGCCCUUUCGGGGGUACACGAGUGGCGAACGGGUGAGUAACACGUGAGUAACCUUCCCACAACUUUGGGAUAACGCUAGGAAACUGGUGCUAAUACUGGAUAUGUGCUCCUGCUGCAUGGUGGGGGUUGGAAAGCUCCGGCGGUUGUGGAUGGACUCGCGGCCUAUCAGCUUGUUGGUGGGGUAGUGGCCUACCAAGGCGGCGACGGAUAGCCGGCCUGAGAGGGUGACCGGCCACAUGGGGACUAAGAGAGGGCCCAGAAGCGAACGGGAGGCAACGGGGGGAAAUAUUGCACAAUGGGGGCGAGCGUGAGACGGAGACGCCGGGUGCGGGAUGCCGGCUUUCGGGUUGAAAACAGCUUUCAGCAGGGAGAAAGAUUUUUGGAAGGGAACCUGCAGAAGAGGCACGGGCAACCAAGGU
Molecule: ribosomal RNA, 464 nt
Filed under: uncultured bacterium
Lineage: Bacteria
Description: partial 16S ribosomal RNA
Rfam family: Bacterial small subunit ribosomal RNA
Source: RNAcentral